UCCAGGGCCCAAUAAUGGGUACAUAAAAAUUACCUGGCUGUAUCAAAGGAAAGGAUAAAAACAGAUUGGACUAUUAACUUGGGUGAUGUAAAUACUGAUAUUUUGGAAUGAGUAAAAUUGCUUUGGAUACCUUAAUUCUGAUGGGCUAUCCUAAAUUUCAGAGAAAACAUGUAAUGCUAGGAUGUCUACAUCAGACAGUAGAAAGCUGCUGAAGGAAGACUCCGGGGAUUAUGGAUGAGCUCUGCCUGUAACUUGCAGUGUGGCCUUGGAUCCAGUGGGCAGAGUCCGGGGCACUUUUGGUAAAGAGGUCCUGCCCUGAGCUCCUCUGUGGCAUUGCCCUGCACUGAACAGCUGUUGUUUUAGGACAGGCUGCAUUUCUGUGAGUACAAGAUGGUCUUUGCAGGUGGCUGGUACAUGAAUUUUAAGCUUGUUGAGUGCUUUGAGAUAUGAAGCUAAAAAUACAUGUGGGAGGUGUGUGUAUGUGUGUGUGUGUGUGUGUGUGUGUGUUUGAGAGAGAGAUUAUUCUUUGUACAAAGAAAAAGUGACAAGGGGUUAUAUGCCGCUGAUGUUCCUGCAUCAUCAUCAUCAAAUACUGUUUAUUAAGCUUCCUCCACAUCGCUGAUGUUAAGGGCUUGCAGAUUCUCUUGGGUUUCUCUUUUCUUCCUCUCCCUGUACUCAGCCUCCAACAUCAUUCUACCCUCCCAGCUCUUACCUUAGCAGUUUUGUACUAGUUUCUGUACUAAGACUUGACUAC
Molecule: long non-coding RNA, 754 nt
Organism: Homo sapiens (human)
Lineage: Eukaryota; Metazoa; Chordata; Mammalia; Primates; Hominidae
Exons: 3
Source: RefSeq, a predicted model, not a curated record